GACGAACGCUGGCGGCGCGCCUAACACAUGCAAGUCGAACGGAAUCGAGAGGAGCUUGCUUUUCUUGAUUUAGUGGCGAACGGGUGAGUAACGCGUGAGUAACCUGCCCUGGAGUGGGGGACAACAGUUGGAAACGACUGCUAAUACCGCAUAAGCCCACGGUGCCGCAUGGCACUGCGGGAAAAGGAUUUAUUCGCUUCAGGAUGGACUCGCGUCCAAUUAGCUAGUUGGUGAGGUAACGGCCCACCAAGGCGACGAUUGGUAGCCGGACUGAGAGGUUGAACGGCCACAUUGGGACUGAGACACGGCCCAGACUCCUGCGGGAGGCAGCAGUGGGGGAUAUUGCACAAUGGGGGAAACCCUGAUGCAGCGACGCCGCGUGGAGGAAGAAGGUUUUCGGAUUGUAAACUCCUGUCGUUAGGGACGAUAAUGACGGUACCUAACAAGAAAGCACCGGCUAACUACGUGCCAGCAGCCGCAGUAA
This 484-nucleotide ribosomal RNA is filed under the name uncultured bacterium. RNAcentral describes it as "partial 16S ribosomal RNA". It matches the Rfam family "Bacterial small subunit ribosomal RNA", at positions 28 to 523 of the family's 1533-position model. The record is from RNAcentral.